AGUGAACGCUGGCGGUAGGCCUAACACAUGCAAGUCGAACGGCAGCACAGUAAGUGCUUGCUCUUACGGGUGGCGAGUGGCGGACGGGUGAGGAAUACAUCGGAAUCUACUUUUUCGUGGGGGAUAACGUAGGUAAACUUACGAUAAUACCGCAUACGACCUACGGGUGAAAGCAGUGGAUCUUCGGACCUUGCGCGAUUGAAUGCGCCGAUGUCGGAUUAGCUAGUUGGCGGGUUAAAGGCCCACCAAGGCGACGAUCCGUAGCUGGUCUGAGAGGAGGGUAGGCCACACUGGAACUGAGACACGGUCCAGACUCCUACGGGAGGCAGCAGUGGGGAAUAUUGGACAAUGGGCGCAAGCCUGAUCCAGCCAGACCGCGUCGGUGAAGAAGGCCUUCGGGUUGUAAAGCCCUUUUGUUGGGAAAGAAAAGCAGCAGGUUAAUACCCCGCUGUUCUGACGGUACCCAAAGAAUAAGCACCGGCUAACUUCGUG
Molecule: ribosomal RNA, 492 nt
Filed under: uncultured bacterium
Lineage: Bacteria
Description: partial 16S ribosomal RNA
Rfam family: Bacterial small subunit ribosomal RNA
Source: RNAcentral